Molecule: ribosomal RNA, 163 nt
Filed under: Mimosa acutistipula
Lineage: Eukaryota; Viridiplantae; Streptophyta; Magnoliopsida; Fabales; Fabaceae
Also listed under: 2 other names
Description: 5.8S ribosomal RNA
Rfam family: 5.8S ribosomal RNA
About the family: 5.8S ribosomal RNA (5.8S rRNA) is a component of the large subunit of the eukaryotic ribosome. It is transcribed by RNA polymerase I as part of the 45S precursor that also contains 18S and 28S rRNA.
Source: RNAcentral
CUCUCGGCAACGGAUAUCUCGGCUCUCGCAUCGAUGAAGAACGUAGCGAAAUGCGAUACUUGGUGUGAAUUGCAGAAUCCCGUGAACCAUCGAGUCUUUGAACGCAAGUUGCGCCCGAAGCCGUCAGGCCGAGGGCACGUCUGCCUGGGUGUCACGCAACGUC